This 301-nucleotide ribosomal RNA is filed under the name uncultured bacterium. Its description in RNAcentral is "partial 16S ribosomal RNA". It matches the Rfam family "Bacterial small subunit ribosomal RNA", at positions 509 to 807 of the family's 1533-position model. The record is from RNAcentral.
CAGUAGCCGCGGGAAUACGGAGGGGGCUAGCGUUGUUCGGAAUUACUGGGCGUAAAGCGCACGUAGGCGGCUUGGUAAGUUAGAGGUGAAAGCCCGGAGCUCAACUCCGGAAUUGCCUUUAAGACUGCCGAGCUAGUAGGUGAGAGAGGUAAGUGGAAUUCCGAGUGUAGAGGUGAAAUUCGUAGAUAUUCGGAAGAACACCAGUGGCGAAGGCGGCUUACUGGCUCAUUCUAGACGCUGAGAUGCGAAAGCGUGGGGAGCAAACAGGAUUAGAUACCCGCGUAGUCCCUGUCUCUUAUAC